AGAGUUUGAUCCUGGCUCAGGAUGAACGCUGGCGGCGUGCUUAACACAUGCAAGUCGAACGGUGAAGCCAAGCUUGCUUGGUGGAUCAGUGGCGAACGGGUGAGUAACACGUGAGCAACCUGCCCUGGACUCUGGGAUAAGCGCUGGAAACGGCGUCUAAUACUGGAUAUGAGCUCUCAUCGCAUGGUGGGGGUUGGAAAGAUUUUUCGGUCUGGGAUGGGCUCGCGGCCUAUCAGCUUGUUGGUGAGGUAAUGGCUCACCAAGGCGUCGACGGGUAGCCGGCCUGAGAGGGUGACCGGCCACACUGGGACUGAGACACGGCCCAGACUCCUACGGGAGGCAGCAGUGGGGAAUAUUGCACAAUGGGCGGAAGCCUGAUGCAGCAACGCCGCGUGAGGGAUGACGGCCUUCGGGUUGUAAACCUCUUUUAGCAGGGAAGAAGCGAGAGUGACGGUACCUCAG
Molecule: ribosomal RNA, 462 nt
Filed under: uncultured organism
Description: bacterial SSU rRNA
Rfam family: Bacterial small subunit ribosomal RNA
Source: RNAcentral